Long non-coding RNA from Trichosurus vulpecula (common brushtail), 771 nucleotides. RefSeq lists it as uncharacterized. The transcript has 3 exons. NCBI's taxonomy places the organism in Eukaryota, Metazoa, Chordata, Mammalia, Diprotodontia, Phalangeridae. The record is from RefSeq and is a predicted model, not a curated record.
GUGGUGUAGCAGGGACUCUGGGGUUCUUUACAAAUUUGAGUUAUAUAGACACCUUCCCAUCCCCAGCCCUACCUUAAAUGUUUUUCCCUCUAGGUCAAGCCCCACAGUUCUCCUCCCCACAUAAAGGGAAGCAUUUGCGGACCAGCCUUGCACACCCAGCCUUCCGAGCAUGCUAACCCGGUCUGCCCACCGGAAAGCAGGAGUGUCCUACCACGAGGGAGUCGGACUAGAUAAUCUUGACCGUCCCUCUCAGCUUUAACAUCCCAGGCUCCCCCGGAGCUCCCGGAAUCGAAGUCGGUCACAGUCGGGGAGGCAGACACUGCUGUCAACUAAUCCAGGGAUAAUGCUAGAACAUCACAGAGAAGCUCACAAGGUCUUUCCUCCUCAAGACAACCAGAAGGGAGAAGACCAAGACCAGGCCAAAGUGCUCCCCCACCUCCGACCCCAACAAUUCAAGAGGCAUAGAGGAAUGGUUCUCUCCUCAUUCUCAGUUCACUAAAAUGUCUAUCCCAGUUCCAACUAUCUGAAUGCUUAUAUACAGGCAAGCAUCAUUUCACUCCAUCAAAUGGCUUUCAAAGACUUUUCUAAUUUUUCCAAUAAUAAACAUUUUUAUUGAUUGUUCCUUCCACUACUCUGCUCCCCAGCAAUAAAAAUAUUUCAAAAUAUAUCUACAUAAUCCAAUAAAACAAUAAAAAACUUCAAAAUGUAUCUGCAUAAUCCAGUAAAACAAUACAAAUACUAUAAAAAUCUACAUAAUCCAAUAAAACAAAG